UACGGAGGGGGCUAGCGUUGUUCGGAAUUACUGGGCGUAAAGCGCGCGUAGGCGGAUCUGCAAGUCGGGGGUGAAAUCCCGAGGCUCAACCUCGGAACUGCCUUCGAUACUGCGGGUCUCGAGUCCGGGAGAGGUGAGUGGAAUUCCUAGUGUAGAGGUGAAAUUCGUAGAUAUUAGGAAGAACACCAGUGGCGAAGGCGCCUCACUGGCCCGGUACUGACGCUGAGGCGCGAAAGCGUGGGGAGCAAACAGG
RNAcentral lists this ribosomal RNA (253 nucleotides) under uncultured bacterium. RNAcentral's name for it is "partial 16S ribosomal RNA". It matches the Rfam family "Bacterial small subunit ribosomal RNA", at positions 524 to 776 of the family's 1533-position model. The record is from RNAcentral.